UGUGGGAGCGAGCCUGCUCGCGAUAGCGGUCUGUCAGUAGCCAACUUACUGCCUGAUACACCGCCAUCGCGAGCAGGCUCGCUCCCACC
This 89-nucleotide unclassified non-coding RNA is filed under the name Pseudomonas mediterranea. Lineage: Bacteria; Pseudomonadati; Pseudomonadota; Gammaproteobacteria; Pseudomonadales; Pseudomonadaceae. The record is from RNAcentral.